Podarcis lilfordi (Lilford's wall lizard) is the source of this 85-nucleotide non-coding RNA. NCBI's taxonomy places the organism in Eukaryota, Metazoa, Chordata, Lepidosauria, Squamata, Lacertidae. The record is from the annotation of a GenBank genome assembly.
AGGGCUGCAGCUCAGUGGCAGAGGGUCUGCUUUGCAUGCAGAAGGUCCCAGGUCCAAUCCCCAAUGGCAUCUCCAGGCAGCGCUG